CCUAAUACAUGCAAGUCGAACGAAUCUCUUUUAGAGAUGAGUGGCGAACGGGUGAGUAAUACAUAGGUAACCUGCCCCUGUGCGGGGGAUAACAGGAGGAAACUCCUGCUAAUACCGCAUAGCCAUGAGCACCGCAUGGAGCUCAUGCCAAAUAUCCUUUAUGGGAUAGCGCAGGGAUGGACCUAUGGCGCAUUAGCUGGUUGGCGGGGCAACGGCCCACCAAGGCAACGAUGCGUAGCCGGCCUGAGAGGGCGGACGGCCACAUUGGGACUGAGACACGGCCCAGACUCCUACGGGAGGCAGCAGUAGGGAAUUUUCGGCAAUGGGGGAAACCCUGACCGAGCAACGCCGCGUGAGCGAAGAAGGCCUUCGGGUCGUAAAGCUCUGUUGUAAAGGAAGAACGGCGCAUACAGGAAAUGGUAUGCGAGUGACGGUACUUUACCAGAAAGCCACGGCUAACUACGUGCCAGCAGCCGCGGUAAUACGUAGGUGGCGAGCGUUAUCCGGAAUCAUUGGGCGUAAAGAGGGAGCAGGCGGCCGCAAGGGUCUGUGGUGAAAGACCGAAGCUAAACUUCGGUAAGCCAUGGAAACCGGGCGGCUAGAGUGCGGAAGAGGAUCGUGGAAUUCCAUGUGUAGCGGUGAAAUGCGUAGAUAUAUGGAGGAACACCAGUGGCGAAGGCGACGGUCUGGGCCGCAACUGACGCUCAUUCCCGAAAGCGUGGGGAGCAAAUAGGAUUAGAUACCCUAGUAGUCCACGCCGUAAACGAUGGUCACUAAGUGUCGGGGGUCAAACCCCGGUGCUGCAGUCAACGCAAUAAGUGACCCGCCUGAGUAGUACGUUCGCAAGAAUGAAACUCAAAGGAAUUGACG
Molecule: ribosomal RNA, 870 nt
Filed under: uncultured bacterium
Lineage: Bacteria
Description: bacterial SSU rRNA
Rfam family: Bacterial small subunit ribosomal RNA
Source: RNAcentral